GGGUUGUGAGGUUAAGCGACUAAGCGUACACGGUGGAUGCCCUGGCAGUCAGAGGCGAUGAAGGACGUGCUAAUCUGCGAAAAGCGUCGGUAAGGUGAUAUGAACCGUUACAGCCGGCGAUGUCCGAAUGGGGAAACCCAGUGCAAUUCGUUGCACUAUCGUUUGAUGAAUACAUAGUCAAACGAGGCGAACCGGGGGAACUGAAACAUCUAAGUACCCCGAGGAAAAGAAAUCAACCGAGAUUCCCCCAGUAGCGGCGAGCGAACGGGGAGCAGCCCGGAGUCUGAAUCAGCUUGUGUGUUAGUGGAAGCGUCUGGAAAGUCGCAGGGUACAGGGUGAUACUCCCGUACACUAAAACACACAGGUUGUGAACUCGAAGAGUAGGGCGGGACACGUGGUAUCCUGUCUGAAUAUGGGGGGACCAUCCUCCAAGGCUAAAUACUCCUGACUGACCGAUAGUGAACCAGUACCGUGAGGGAAAGGCGAAAAGAACCCCGGCGAGGGGAGUGAAAAAGAACCUGAAACCGUGUACGUACAAGCAGUAGGAGCCCACUAGUUGGGUGACUGCGUACCUUUUGUAUAAUGGGUCAGCGACUUAUAUUCUGUAGCAAGGUUAACCGUAUAGGGGAGCCGCAGGGAAACCGAGUCUUAACUGGGCGUUAAGUUGCAGGGUAUAGACCCGAAACCCGGUGAUCUAGCCAUGGGCAGGUUGAAGGUUGGGUAACACUAACUGGAGGACCGAACCGACUAAUGUUGAAAAAUUAGCGGAUGACUUGUGGCUGGGGGUGAAAGGCCAAUCAAACCGGGAGAUAGCUGGUUCUCCCCGAAAGCUAUUUAGGUAGCGCCUCGUGAACUCAUCUUCGGGGGUAGAGCACUGUUUCGGCUAGGGGGUCAUCCCGACUUACCAACCCGAUGCAAACUACGAAUACCGAAGAAUGUUAUCACGGGAGACACACGGCGGGUGCUAACGUCCGUCGUGAAGAGGGAAACAACCCAGACCGCCAGCUAAGGUCCCAAAGUCAUGGUUAAGUGGGAAACGAUGUGGGAAGGCCCAGACAGCCAGGAUGUUGGCUUAGAAGCAGCCAUCAUUUAAAGAAAGCGUAAUAGCUCACUGGUCGAGUCGGCCUGCGCGGAAGAUGUAACGGGGCUAAACCAUGCACCGAAGCUGCGGCAGCGACACUAUGUGUUGUUGGGUAGGGGAGCGUUCUGUAAGCCGUUGAAGGUGGCCUGUGAGGGUUGCUGGAGGUAUCAGAAGUGCGAAUGCUGACAUAAGUAACGAUAAUGCGGGUGAAAAACCCGCACGCCGGAAGACCAAGGGUUCCUGUCCAACGUUAAUCGGGGCAGGGUGAGUCGACCCCUAAGGCGAGGCCGAAAGGCGUAGUCGAUGGGAAACAGGUUAAUAUUCCUGUACUCGGUGUUACUGCGAAGGGGGGACGGAGAAGGCUAUGUUGGCCGGGCGACGGUUGUCCCGGUUUAAGCAUGUAGGCGGAUGUUCCAGGUAAAUCCGGAACGUCACUAACGCUGAGGUGUGAUGACGAGGCACUACGGUGCUGAAGUGACAAAUGCCCUGCUUCCAGGAAAAGCCUCUAAGCAUCAGGUAACAUCAAAUCGUACCCCAAACCGACACAGGUGGUCAGGUAGAGAAUACCAAGGCGCUUGAGAGAACUCGGGUGAAGGAACUAGGCAAAAUGGUGCCGUAACUUCGGGAGAAGGCACGCUGAUGGUAGGUGAAGUGACUUGCUCAUGGAGCUGAAAUCAGUCGAAGAUACCAGCUGGCUGCAACUGUUUAUUAAAAACACAGCACUGUGCAAACACGAAAGUGGACGUAUACGGUGUGACGCCUGCCCGGUGCCGGAAGGUUAAUUGAUGGGGUUAUCCGUAAGGAGAAGCUCUUGAUCGAAGCCCCGGUAAACGGCGGCCGUAACUAUAACGGUCCUAAGGUAGCGAAAUUCCUUGUCGGGUAAGUUCCGACCUGCACGAAUGGCGUAAUGAUGGCCAGGCUGUCUCCACCCGAGACUCAGUGAAAUUGAACUCGCUGUGAAGAUGCAGUGUACCCGCGGCAAGACGGAAAGACCCCGUGAACCUUUACUAUAGCUUGACACUGAACACUGGUCCUUGAUGUGUAGGAUAGGUGGGAGGCUUUGAAGUGUGGACGCCAGUCUGCAUGGAGCCAUCCUUGAAAUACCACCCUUUAAUGGCUGGUGUUCUAACGUGGGCCCCUAAUCGGGGUUGCGGACAGUGUCUGGUGGGUAGUUUGACUGGGGCGGUCUCCUCCUAAAGAGUAACGGAGGAGCACGAAGGUCAGCUAAUCCUGGUCGGACAUCAGGAGGUUAGUGCAAUGGCAUAAGCUGGCUUGACUGCGAGCGUGACGGCGCGAGCAGGUGCGAAAGCAGGUCAUAGUGAUCCGGUGGUUCUGAAUGGAAGGGCCAUCGCUCAACGGAUAAAAGGUACUCCGGGGAUAACAGGCUGAUACCGCCCAAGAGUUCAUAUCGACGGCGGUGUUUGGCACCUCGAUGUCGGCUCAUCACAUCCUGGGGCUGAAGUAGGUCCCAAGGGUAUGGCUGUUCGCCAUUUAAAGUGGUACGCGAGCUGGGUUUAGAACGUCGUGAGACAGUUCGGUCCCUAUCUGCCGUGGGCGCUGGAGAAUUGAGGGGGGCUGCUCCUAGUACGAGAGGACCGGAGUGGACGCAUCACUGGUGUUCGGGUUGUCAUGCCAAUGGCAUUGCCCGGUAGCUAAAUGCGGAAGAGAUAAGUGCUGAAAGCAUCUAAGCACGAAACUUGCCCCGAGAUGAGUUCUCCCUGACUCCUUGAGAGUCCUGAAGGAACGUUGAAGACGACGACGUUGAUAGGCCGGGUGUGUAAGCGCAGCGAUGCGUUGAGCUAACCGGUACUAAUGAACCGUGAGGCUUAACCUUACAACGCCGAAG
Molecule: ribosomal RNA, 2927 nt
Filed under: Klebsiella oxytoca
Lineage: Bacteria; Pseudomonadati; Pseudomonadota; Gammaproteobacteria; Enterobacterales; Enterobacteriaceae
Also listed under: 1 other name
Description: bacterial LSU rRNA
Rfam family: Bacterial large subunit ribosomal RNA
Source: RNAcentral